This is a long non-coding RNA of Fukomys damarensis (Damara mole-rat), 378 nucleotides long. RefSeq lists it as uncharacterized. The record is from RefSeq and is a predicted model, not a curated record. Lineage: Eukaryota; Metazoa; Chordata; Mammalia; Rodentia; Bathyergidae. The transcript is spliced from 3 exons.
UCAGCUGACCCCGUGGCAGCUCCAGUUCCGAGGAGGAUGUGGUCCUGUCCCCAGCUCUGCUCCUGACACCUGAAGGUCACCCAGCAAGGAACAACCUCAGCCCACAGUGAUGCUGAAGCCACAGUGGAACCUGUUGCGCCAGUGAUUGAGGAAGGCUCCAAGGGCCAGGGUGACAGGCAGCGGGGGCAUCUUCUUCUCCAGCACAGCACCUACGCACCAGUUACUAUCCACCAAGCCUGCAAGGGAAGGCAUAGCGACUAGGUUCCGUCACCGGCCUUGGAGAAAAGAAGCUGCAGAAGUUGUGUCUUGUAGCCUUGUGUUUGCCUCAAACUCCACUCCAACCUGAACCUGAGAAACAUGGGCAAGGAGAGGAGAUCC